RNAcentral lists this ribosomal RNA (738 nucleotides) under uncultured eukaryote. RNAcentral's name for it is "bacterial SSU rRNA". It matches the Rfam family "Eukaryotic small subunit ribosomal RNA", at positions 668 to 1406 of the family's 1831-position model. The record is from RNAcentral.
AAAGGUGUGCACUGGCAUUUGCUCUCUUCCUUCUGGUAACUUCCCUGCUCCUUUACUGAAGCAGGAAACAGCACCAGAUCAUUUACCUUGAAAAAAUUAGAGUGUUUAAAGCAGGCCGUCGCGCUUGAAUAGAUUAGCAUGGGAUAAUAGAAUAGGAUUGCCAGCCUAUUUUGUUGGUUUCUAAGUUGGCAAUAAUGAUUAAUAGAGACAAUUGGGGGUAUUUAUAUUAGGCUGCUAGAGGUGAAAUUCUUGGAUUAGCCAAAGAUAAACUACUGCGAAAGCAUUUACCAAGGAUGUUUUCAUUGAUCAAGAACGAAAGUUAGGGGAUCGAAGACGAUCAGAUACCGUCGUAGUCUUAACCAUAAACUAUGCGGACCAGGGAUUGGAGAAUGUUACAUGUAUGACGUCUUCAGCACCUUGUGAGAAAUCACAAGUCUUUGCGUUCUGGGGGGAGUAUGGUCGCAAGGCUGAAACUUAAAGAAAUUGAUGGAAAAACAAACAAGGAGUGGAGCCUGCGGCUUAAUUUGACUCAACACGGGGAAACUUGCCCGGUCAAGACACAGGAAUGAUUGACAGAUUGAGAGCUCUUUCUUGAUUCUGUGGGUGGUGGUGCAUGGUCGUUCUUAGUUGGUGGAGUGAUUUGUCUGGUCAAUUCCGAUAACGAACGAGACCUCAGCUUGCUAAAUAGCAGUGCAAAUCGUCUGUAUGGGUGAAGAUGCUGUGCUGGUGCAAGCUUUG